CCGAGCCCCGUGUCAGCCAGCUGGGCACGGCUGCGCCCCUGGGGAGGCCGGGCCCUUGGCUCAGGUCCGUCAUCAUCCUGCCACUUGCUGAUGGGACGAGCCAACCCUUGGGCCCCCGUGGUUUCCCCGUAACCGUGGAAAUGACGCCGUUGACCCUGCGUGCAGUUCUGCAGGCUGCAGAUGAUUUGCCACCGCCAGUGACGGCCAGGAUCCGACGGCCCUGUUCUGUUUCAACGUCUUUAAUGGACAAGGAGAGCCGCGUACCCCAGUGACUUUCCCCUUUUGUCUCGUCUGCCAGGAAGCUCGGAGCUAAGUUUGUGCUCAUUUUCAGGAGCUCCCUACAGCCUAGGCUGGUGACUCUCAUCUGGGACCAGUCACCGGGCUGACAACGGGGAGGGGCUGGCCCGGGAGGCGCCCACGCUGCCCAGCAGAGACCCACCUGGGGAGACGCAGGGGCCCUCUCCAUGUCGCCUCAAUGCACAUCCACGGAAAGGAAGCCAACCAGGCCCACUCCUAAGGGACCAGGGAUUGUGGCCACAACGCCUCACGUCUGCACUGUCCACAGGGACAACGACGACCCCACGCUGGCGCCCAGAGAUGACCCGCGUGCAAAGCGCCUACCGCCCCCUCUCCAAACUCUCUGCUACGCUGAUUGAGACGAAGUUUUCGCAAUUUGGAAUUUCAGAGGAGCACGUGUGUGCUGCGUCCAGAGCCUGCACGUCCAGGCGGCGACUCGGUGGCCCUCACCGGAGCCCAGGGAAGAGCCCGGGCCCCAGAGCUAACUUGCGGCCAGCACGGAACUUCCAGGAUGGGGACACUGUCACUGGAGGCCCGCCAUCUCGUGCAAGGGCAAUGGCACGGAAGGCGAGGGGGAUGCCGAAGGUGCCCCUUGUCUCCUGUCCUGCUGGGCCGCCCUGAGUCCCUGUCCACGCUCAGGCCGCCGGGGCUGGGCACCCCGUCCUGACGGUCCCCAGCAGUUCCAGGUAGGGAGCCAGUGGACGGGAUUCAGGAACUUCAGGGGUGGUUUUUAAUGUCACUUGAAAGGUGGCGUCCAAUAAAUCAGAAGAGCAGCUUGGACCUAA
This is a long non-coding RNA of Neofelis nebulosa (Clouded leopard), 1082 nucleotides long. RefSeq lists it as uncharacterized. The transcript has 2 exons. The record is from RefSeq and is a predicted model, not a curated record. NCBI's taxonomy places the organism in Eukaryota, Metazoa, Chordata, Mammalia, Carnivora, Felidae.